This 1090-nucleotide ribosomal RNA is filed under the name Alexandrium catenella. Its description in RNAcentral is "partial large subunit ribosomal RNA". It matches the Rfam family "Eukaryotic large subunit ribosomal RNA", at positions 122 to 1171 of the family's 3401-position model. Lineage: Eukaryota; Dinophyceae; Gonyaulacales; Pyrocystaceae. The record is from RNAcentral.
UGGAGCUAUUGGCUUUGAAUUGUAUUGUGGAAAUGUAUUACCAACAGAGGUGCAGGUGCCAGCCUAUUGAAAUAAAGCGUCAAUGAGGGUGAGAAUCCUGUUUGUCAUGUGCAGCCCUUUGUGCACGGUGUAUAUUUGCUGAGUCACACUCCUUGGCAUUGGAAUGCAAAGUGGGUGGUAAGUUUCAUGUAAAGGUAAACAUGCAAUUGAGACUGAUAGCACACAAGUACCAUGAGGGAAAUAUGAAAAGGACUUUGAAAAGAGAAUUAAAUGAGUUUGUAUUUGCUGAACACAAAGUAAACAGACUUGAUUUGCUUGGUGGGAGUGUUGCACUUGCUUGACAAGAGCUUUGGGCUGUGGGUGUAAUGAUUCUUUCUUUGCAUGCCAGUUUCUAUUUGUACAUCUGAUUACCUUUGCACAUGAAUGAUAAGUCUCCUGUGGGGGGUGGAUUGCAUGUGCAUGUAAUGAUUUGUGUUUUGAUAAAUGUGUCUGGUGUAUGUGUGUGUUCCUGUGCUUGGGGAUGCUUCCUUCCUUGGACUUACAAGCCCUGACACACACAUGCUGGCAAAAUGCUUCUGCUUGACCCGUCUUGAAACACGGACCAAGGAGUCUAACAGAUGUGCAAAGUUUGAAGGUGGUAUACCUUUGUGUGCAAUGAAAGUGUCAGCUGGGAUAUGUGCACCAGCACCCAAUUAAUUAGCGGACAGAGGUUUGAGUUGGAGCAUAUCUAUUAGGACCCGAAAGAUGGUGAACUAUGCCUGAACAGAAUGAAUUCAGAGGAAACUCUGAUGGAGGUUCGUAUCGAUACUGACGUGCAAAUCGUUCGUCAUAUUUGGGUAUAGGGGCGAAAGACUAAUCGAACCAUCUAGUAGCUGGUUCCCUCCGAAGUUUCCCUCAGGAUAGCUGGAGUUGCUCAGUUUUAUCAGGUAAAGCGAAUGAUUAGAGGAAUUGGGGACAGGUUUGUCUUUGACCUAUUCUCAAACUUUAAAUGGGUAAUAUGUAGUGGUUGCUGUAUGGAACUUCUAAGAUAAAUGGCAAUAUUGGGUGGGCCAUUUUUGGUAAGCAGAACUGGCGAUGAGGGAUGAACCUA